UGUAGUAAAGUAUAAGAUGUACAGGAGCUUUUGAUGUUUCAAGGUAGAGUUUGAUUCUCUAGACUAUAA
RNAcentral lists this transfer RNA (69 nucleotides) under Nigidius miwai. RNAcentral describes it as "tRNA-Gln". The record is from RNAcentral. Lineage: Eukaryota; Metazoa; Arthropoda; Insecta; Coleoptera; Lucanidae.